GACGAACGCUGGCGGCGCGCCUAACACAUGCAAGUCGAACGAGCGAGAGAGAGCUUGCUUUCUCGAGCGAGUGGCGAACGGGUGGGUAACGCGUGAGGAACCUGCCUCAAAGAGGGGGACAACAGUUGGAAACGACUGCUAAUACCGCAUAAGCCCACGGUGCCGCAUGGCACAGAGGGAAAAGGAGCAAUCCGCUUUGAGAUGGCCUCGCGUCCGAUUAGCUAGUUGGUGAGGUAAUGGCCCACCAAGGCGACGAUCGGUAGCCGGACUGAGAGGUUGAACGGCCACAUUGGGACUGAGACACGGCCCAGACUCCUACGGGAGGCAGCAGUGGGGAAUAUUGCACAAUGGGGGAAACCCUGAUGCAGCGACGCCGCGUGGAGGAAGAAGGUCUUCGGAUUGUAAACUCCUGUUGUUGGGGAAGAUAAUGACGGUACCCAACAAGGAAGUGACGGCUAACUACGUA
This 466-nucleotide ribosomal RNA is filed under the name uncultured bacterium. RNAcentral describes it as "partial 16S ribosomal RNA". It matches the Rfam family "Bacterial small subunit ribosomal RNA", at positions 28 to 507 of the family's 1533-position model. The record is from RNAcentral.